RNAcentral lists this unclassified non-coding RNA (363 nucleotides) under Mycobacterium kyorinense. RNAcentral describes it as "partial contains 16S ribosomal RNA, 16S-23S ribosomal RNA intergenic spacer, and 23S ribosomal RNA". The record is from RNAcentral. Lineage: Bacteria; Bacillati; Actinomycetota; Actinomycetes; Mycobacteriales; Mycobacteriaceae.
UACCGGAAGGUGCGGCUGGAUCACCUCCUUUCUAAGGAGCACCAUUUUUUCCCGGUGCCCCACGCCGUGGGGGUUAUCGCGUAGGGAUAUGUAGUGCCGGCGCCUGUAGUGGGUGUUCGGUGGGUGCGCAACAACAUUUUCCCUCGUUGGUGGGGGACAAGACCGCCAGGCACACUGUUGGGUCCUGAGGCAACACCCGGGUUUGUUUGGGUUGUUGUCGCCCUGCUUGGUGGUGGGGUGUGGUGUUUGAGUUGUGGAUAGUGGUUGCGAGCAUCUAGAGCGAAAAGCUGCUGAUUUUAGUGGUUUUUUGUCGAGUGUUUUGUGUGUGUAAGUGUGUUAGGGCGCAUGGUGGAUGCCUUGGCG